Terrapene triunguis (Three-toed box turtle) is the source of this 1398-nucleotide long non-coding RNA. RefSeq lists it as uncharacterized. The transcript is spliced from 2 exons. Lineage: Eukaryota; Metazoa; Chordata; Testudines; Emydidae. The record is from RefSeq and is a predicted model, not a curated record.
GCCAAUUGGAGAUGGUAUGCAGACCUUUUGGAGAGCGUACAACAAGACUUAUCUGAGGUGAGAACAUUUUAAAAACUUUAUCAUCCAUAAUUUCUCUGUCCUUUACAGUCUAAAAAAUUAUUUAGGCAAAUUUUUCUGACAACUGUACAUGUGUUUAGUAACUAGUUUAGCCAAGAGAAAAUGUGGUGAGAAAUUUAAUACUAAAGCUUCUGUUCUUUAUCUUGUGUUGCAGCAUAUGCCAAACAAUAGUUCUGGAGUCAGUUACUAUAAUGUCCUUCGUUUGUUCUAGUAGUAAUUUCUAAAUUUAGAAACUAUUUCACUUGUUUUCACUAUUGAGAUCUCUAUUUUGAACUCUUGGAAUUUUUGCUAUGGGGAAACUAUGAAUGGCAGAGCUGAAAUUCAAGCUGGAAGUUCUGUUGAGUUCAAGGAGCAAAAGAUCGUGUACUAGGAUUACCAUAAUCUUCUGAGAUUUGUGCACUGACUACUUUGGCAGAAGAUAGGUAAAAAGGUAAAUUUUAUCUUUCAUUUCCUCUCUUCUUCUCCCCCCUUUUUAUUUUGUAGAACUCAGUUUUCUUUGAAAAGUUUAUGGCAGUUUUUUUGGCAGCAAAACUAAUCUUUCUGCUUCUUAUCUCUAAUUUCUCAGCAGAUGGACCAUCACCGUUUGAAGGAGCAUCUAGUCAAAAUUAUAAGUAUCCUAAAGAACUCUCUCCACUAGUUUUGAUAAACUCAUUCAGUAAUGAUGUAACUCUUUUGUAGUGCAGGGAUUAACAACUUCCUCUAUACAGAAAGGUGAGAUGCUAGUUUUUAUUUUCCUGUAGCAGUUUGGGGGGAAAAAAACACCUUAUUUUUAAUAGCACUUAUUAAAAUGCUGUUCACAGUUUUCAUUAUUUACAAUUAGCAAGAGCUUGCUUUUCUCAUAUCUAAGAGUUUGAGAGUAAUUAGUAUGUAAUUAAAAAAAAGUUUCAAAGAAGAAACGAACACAAAAUCUGAUGUGAUAGGGACACCUAUCACAAGGAUAUGAAAUGUUGAUUAUAUACUGUCAAGUAAUAUUAUAUGAUAUUAGUUGGAUAGAUUCUUUAUUCUUAUUUUUAGAAGUUGCAUUUUUUAUUCUUCAAUUUAUUAUUCUAUCAAAUAAUAUUACUUUGAAAUACACCUAGCAAGUUGAGCACGGAGCAUUGAGUCAGUAAGUGUAAAAAGUAAGUGUCUUUUUAAGGAAGCAAAAAUAAAAUUCUCUUAAUGCUGCCUUGUCUUUUUUUCCCUCCCUUUGCUGUAUAGAAAUAUUGUACUCUGAAAAACAGUGUAAGUGGGGAAAAUUUGCAUUUGGGAAUCUGCUUUCAACCCUUUAUGACUGAAUGUUUUUUUUUUACUUGAUUUAAUAAACUAAGUUAUUUAUAAGAA